AGUCUAAUCUGCCCACUGAAAUAAAUUUAAAGGGCUGCAGUAUAUUGACUGUACAAAGGUAGCAUAAUCAUUAGUCUUUUAAUUGAAGACUUGUAUAAAUGAUUGGAUGAAAUAUAAUCUGUCUCUAUUUAAAAAAUGAAAUUUAAUUUUUUAGUUAAAAAGCUAAAUUAAAAUUAAAAGACGAGAAGACCCUAUAGAGUUUAAUAUUUUAAAAAUUAUUAUUAAAAUAAAGAAAAAUUAACACUAAAAUUUUUAAAAUAUUUUAUUGGGGUGAUAGAAAAAUAAAAGAAACUUUUUUUAAAUAAUAAACAUAAAUAAAUGAAAUUAUGAUCCAUAAUUUAUGAUUAUAAGAAAAAAUUACCUUAGGGAUAACAGCGUAAUUUUUUUUUUUAGUUCAAAUAAAAAAAAAAGUUUGCGACCUCGAUGUUGGAUUAAGAUAAAAUUUAAAUGCAAAAGUUUAAAAUUUUGAUCUGUUCGAUCAUUAAAAUCUU
Molecule: ribosomal RNA, 491 nt
Filed under: Leptidea amurensis
Lineage: Eukaryota; Metazoa; Arthropoda; Insecta; Lepidoptera; Pieridae
Description: partial 16S ribosomal RNA
Source: RNAcentral